This 253-nucleotide ribosomal RNA is filed under the name uncultured bacterium. RNAcentral describes it as "partial 16S ribosomal RNA". It matches the Rfam family "Bacterial small subunit ribosomal RNA", at positions 524 to 776 of the family's 1533-position model. The record is from RNAcentral.
GACAGAGGGUGCAAGCGUUGUUCGGAAUCAUUGGGCGUAAAGCGCGCGUAGGCGGCUUUGCAAGUCGGAUGUGAAAGCCCUGGGCUCAACCCAGGAAGUGCAUCCGAAACUGCAUGGCUUGAGUCCCGGAGAGGGUGGUGGAAUUCCGAGUGUAGAGGUGAAAUUCGUAGAUAUUCGGAGGAACACCAGUGGCGAAGGCGACCACCUGGACGAGGACUGACGCUGAGGUGCGAAAGCGUGGGGAGCAAACAGG